CUGUUGUUAGGGAAGAACAAGUACCAGAGUAACUGCUGGUACCUUGACGGUACCUAACCAGAAAGCCACGGCUAACUACGUGCCAGCAGCCGCGGUAAUACGUAGGUGGCAAGCGUUGUCCGGAAUUAUUGGGCGUAAAGCGCGCGCAGGUGGUUCCUUAAGUCUGAUGUGAAAGCCCACGGCUCAACCGUGGAGGGUCAUUGGAAACUGGGGAACUUGAGUGCAGAAGAGGAAAGUGGAAUUCCAAGUGUAGCGGUGAAAUGCGUAGAGAUUUGGAGGAACACCAGUGGCGAAGGCGACUUUCUGGUCUGUAACUGACACUGAGGCGCGAAAGC
This 335-nucleotide ribosomal RNA is filed under the name Peribacillus simplex. RNAcentral describes it as "bacterial SSU rRNA". It matches the Rfam family "Bacterial small subunit ribosomal RNA", at positions 433 to 760 of the family's 1533-position model. Lineage: Bacteria; Bacillati; Bacillota; Bacilli; Caryophanales; Bacillaceae. The record is from RNAcentral.